This 402-nucleotide ribosomal RNA is filed under the name uncultured prokaryote. RNAcentral's name for it is "bacterial SSU rRNA". It matches the Rfam family "Bacterial small subunit ribosomal RNA", at positions 355 to 774 of the family's 1533-position model. The record is from RNAcentral.
UAGGGAAUAUUGGUAAUCUGGGCAACCGGGAACCAGCAACGCCGCGUGUGCGAUGCAGGCCUUCGGGUUGUAAAGCACUUUUUGAGGGGAUGAGGAAGGACAGUACCCUCAGAAUAAGCCUCGGCUAACUACGUGCCAGCAGCCGCGGUAACACGUAGGAGGCGAGCGAUAUUCGGAUUUACUGGGCGUACAGCGCGUGCAGGCGGCUCGAUAAGUUGGAUGUGAAAGCUCCCGGCUUAACUGGGAUAGGUCGUUCAAUACUGUCGGACUAGAGGAUGAGAGAGGGAGGUGGAAUUCCGAGUGUAGUGGUGGAAUGCGUAGAUAUUCGGAGGAACACCAGUGGCGAAAGCGGCCUCCUGGCUCAUAUCUGACGCUCAGACGCGAAAGCUAGGGUAGCAAACG